This 378-nucleotide ribosomal RNA is filed under the name uncultured bacterium. RNAcentral's name for it is "bacterial SSU rRNA". It matches the Rfam family "Bacterial small subunit ribosomal RNA", at positions 525 to 896 of the family's 1533-position model. The record is from RNAcentral.
ACAGAGGAGCCAAGCGUUGUCCGGAUUGACUGGGCGUAAAGCGCACGCAGGCGGUUGUGCGCGUGGGGUGUGAAAUCUGGCCGCUUAACGGCCAGGCGCCAUCCCAUACGGCAUAACUGGAGGGAUGCAGAGGUCGGUGGAAUUGCCGGUGUAGUGGUGAAAUGCGUAGAGAUCGGCAGGAACACCCAGGGGGAAACCAGCCGACUGGGCAUCUACUGACGCUGAGGUGCGAGAGCGUGGGGAGCGAACCGGAUUAGAUACCCGGGUAGUCCACGUCGUAAACGAUGGCCACUCGGCCUUUGGAGGCGGAAUCUCCGUCUGUGGGGGCCUUAGCUAACGCGGGAAGUGGCCCGCCUGGGAACUACGAGCGCAAGCUUA